This 301-nucleotide ribosomal RNA is filed under the name uncultured bacterium. RNAcentral describes it as "bacterial SSU rRNA". It matches the Rfam family "Bacterial small subunit ribosomal RNA", at positions 1077 to 1382 of the family's 1533-position model. The record is from RNAcentral.
UGGGUAGUCCGCACGAGCGCACCCUUGUUUUUAGUUGCCAUCAUUUAGUUGGGGACUCUAAAAAGACUGCCGGUGACAAACCGGAGGAAGGUGAGGAUGACGUCAAGUCAGCAUGCCCUUUAUGUUCUGGGCUACACACGUGCUACAAUGACUAUGACAAAGAGCGGCAAAUUUGUAAAAAUAAGCAAAUCUCGUAAACAUAGUCUCAGUUCGGAUUGUAGGCUGAAACUCGCCUAUAUGAAGGUGGAAUCGCUAGUAAUCGCCGGUCAGCUAUACGGCGGUGAAUCCGUUCCCGGGCCUU